Molecule: ribosomal RNA, 253 nt
Filed under: uncultured bacterium
Lineage: Bacteria
Description: partial 16S ribosomal RNA
Rfam family: Bacterial small subunit ribosomal RNA
Source: RNAcentral
UACGUAGGGUGCAAGCGUUGUCCGGAAUUAUUGGGCGUAAAGAGCUCGUAGGCGGCUUGUCGCGUCGGCUGUGAAAACCUGGGGCUCAACCCCGGGCCUGCAGCCGAUACGGGCAAGCUAGAAUUCGGUAGGGGAGACUGGAAUUCCUGGUGCAGCGGUGAAAUGCGCAGAUAUCAGGAGGAACACCGGUGGCGAAGGCGGGUCUCUGGGCCGAUAUUGACGCUGAGGAGCGAAAGCGUGGGGAGCGAACAGG